This is a long non-coding RNA of Podarcis muralis (Common wall lizard), 558 nucleotides long. RefSeq lists it as uncharacterized. The record is from RefSeq and is a predicted model, not a curated record. Lineage: Eukaryota; Metazoa; Chordata; Lepidosauria; Squamata; Lacertidae.
UCUUCUACCCAUUUUAUGCUUCUCCACGCCUGCUCCUCAGGGGAGAGGAGGAAUGCAGUCAAAUGGAUUUGUGCAUUAGCAGCAGGCCAAGAAUAACUCCUGCUUCUAACUAACACGGUAAUUUCCAAGAUGCUGAUGCAUCCAAGAGAAGUCAAUGGAGCUUCACCGCUCGGCAACAGGUUGCCAUUUCCUGAGCUGCAGCUUGGCUCCUUUUCUCUGAUCUAUUUCCCCGAAACCACGGAGAGCAAAGGAAUCCCGAGUUUCAGUCCUGCAACCUGGAGAGCCAGGGACCAGUUUAUUUCUAAAUAUGCAUCUUAGCUGGAUGAUGUCAAGCGAUGGAACUCAGCGGAAAGUGGAAGAUUGUUGCAGGAUGUGUGUGUUCCUAUUUGGGAAGCAGCAAAACAGCAAAGGUGUGCAUCCUUGAGAUAUCCACCAGCAUCCCACUGCUGGAUAAUCAUCACCACAACGUCCUUAGGCCUCACAAUUGUGGGGGCACCUCAUCAAUUAUUUGUUUGCUUGUUUAGUAUUAAAAAUAAUAAACCGUCACCUGUACGGAGA